AGAUUGAACGCUGGCGGCAUGCCUUACACAUGCAAGUCGAACGGCAGCACGGGAGCAAUCCUGGUGGCGAGUGGCGAACGGGUGAGUAAUAUAUCGGAACGUGCCCAGUCGUGGGGGAUAACGUAGAGAAAUUUACGCUAAUACCGCAUACGAUCCAAGGAUGAAAGCGGGGGACCGUAAGGCCUCGCGCGACUGGAGCGGCUGAUAUCAGAUUAGCUUGUUGGUGAGGUAAAAGCUCACCAAGGCGACGAUCUGUAGCUGGUUUGAGAGAACGACCAGCCACACUGGGACUGAGACACGGCCCAGACCUCCUACGGGAGCAGCAGUGGGGAAUUUUGGACAAUGGGCGAAAGCCUGAUCCAGCAAUGCCGCGUG
Molecule: ribosomal RNA, 375 nt
Filed under: uncultured soil bacterium
Lineage: Bacteria
Description: bacterial SSU rRNA
Rfam family: Bacterial small subunit ribosomal RNA
Source: RNAcentral